CCUACGGGCGGCAGCAGUGGGGAAUAUUGGACAAUGGGGGCAACCCUGAUCCAGCCAUACCGCGUGUGUGAAGAAGGCCCUCGGGUUGUAAAGCACUUUCAGUGAGGAAGAACGCCUGGUGGUUAAUACCCAUCAGGAAAGACAUCACUCACAGAAGAAGCACCGGCUAACUCCGUGCCAGCAGCCGCGGUAAUACGGAGGGUGCGAGCGUUAAUCGGAAUUACUGGGCGUAAAGCGCGCGUAGGUGGCUUGAUAAGCCGGUUGUGAAAGCCCCGGGCCCAAACUGGGAACGGCAUCCGGAACUGUCAAGCUAGAGUGCCGGAGAGGAAGGUAGAAUUCCCGGUGUAGCGGUGAAAUGCGUAGAGAUCGGGAGGAAUACCAGUGGCGAAGGCGGCCUUCUGGACUGACACUGACACUGAGGUGCGAAAGCGUGGGUAGCAAACAGGAUUAGAUACCCCAGUAGUC
This 465-nucleotide ribosomal RNA is filed under the name Vreelandella stevensii. RNAcentral's name for it is "partial 16S ribosomal RNA". It matches the Rfam family "Bacterial small subunit ribosomal RNA", at positions 338 to 795 of the family's 1533-position model. The record is from RNAcentral. Lineage: Bacteria; Pseudomonadati; Pseudomonadota; Gammaproteobacteria; Oceanospirillales; Halomonadaceae.